UCGGAUAUCCUUCAGUGGAUACCUAUAUCUUCUAACAUCCCCAGUAGAUGUUAUCCCGGUAGCAUUCAUCAGUAAAUGCUAAUCUUUCUGAUCUUCAUUGGCAUCCAUAAGUAAAUGCCAUAUCACCUAACAUCCAUCAGUAGAUGUUGUAGAAGCAUCCAUUAGUAGAUGCUAUCAUCACUGCCAUCAGGAGCAAUGCAUAACCCAAAAAAAAUAAAGAAAAUGAAAUAAAAUAAAAUAAAACCAAAUCAAAUAAAAUCAAAUAAAAUAAAAAAAUCAAAUAAAAGAAAAGAAAAUAAAAAUAAAAAUAAAAUCAAAUAAAAUAAAAUAAAAUAAAAUCAAAACGAAAUUGAAAAAAAAUUCAGAAACUGGGUUGCCUCCCAUCAAGCGCUCUUUUAACGUCAUUAGCUUGACCCGAUAAAGCCCAAACACCCCUCAGUAGGUGUUGAUUUUUAACGUUGGCGUUCUUCCUUCCUUCAUGACACCAAAAAUCUUCUUGUCACCAACUCUAAGGAUCCUCAAUCUCAAGAGCUCUGCUUCCUUUAAUAGUCUUGACAACCCAUAACCUAACUUUGAAUUUCAUUGAUGUGCCACGUUAGGGUUUGUCACUUUUCACAUCAGGGUGUUGGUGAACCAAUUCUCC
This 643-nucleotide long non-coding RNA is filed under the name Vigna radiata. RNAcentral's name for it is "long non-coding RNA (VRAD_LNC014699)". Lineage: Eukaryota; Viridiplantae; Streptophyta; Magnoliopsida; Fabales; Fabaceae. The record is from RNAcentral.